GGCAGCAUGGCUCAGUGGAAAGAGCACGGGCUUUGGAGUCAGAGGUCAUGGGUUCGAAUCCCAGCUCAGCCA
This 72-nucleotide transfer RNA is filed under the name Ornithorhynchus anatinus (platypus). It matches the Rfam family "tRNA". From Rfam's summary of the family: Transfer RNA (tRNA) molecules are approximately 80 nucleotides in length. Their secondary structure includes four short double-helical elements and three loops (D, anti-codon, and T loops). The record is from Rfam by way of RNAcentral. Lineage: Eukaryota; Metazoa; Chordata; Mammalia; Monotremata; Ornithorhynchidae.